ACUACGGGUGGCAGCAGUGAGGAAUAUUGGUCAAUGGGCGGGAGCCUGAACCAGCCAAGUCGCGGGAGGGAAGACGGUCCUAUGGAUUGUAAACCUCUUUAGGCGGGGAGCAAUGCCGGGUACGCGUGCCCGGAGGUAGAGUACCUGCAGAAUAAGCAUCGGCUAACUCCGUGCCAGCAGCCGCGGUAAUACGGGGGAUGCGAGCGUUAUACGAGUUUAUUUGGUGUUAAGGGUCCGUAGGCGGCUUGUUAAGUAAGUGGUAAAUGGUACGGGCUCAAAUCGGGACCGCCGUUGAUAGUGGGGUACUUGAGUGGGCGAGAAGUAUGCGGAAUGCGUGGUGUAGCGGUGAAAUGCAUAGAUACCACGCAGAACUCCGAUUGCGAAGGCAGCAUACCGGCGCCCGACUGACGCUGAGGCACGAAAGCGUGGGGAUCGAACAGGAUUAGAUACCCUUGUAGUC
This 460-nucleotide ribosomal RNA is filed under the name uncultured bacterium. Its description in RNAcentral is "partial 16S ribosomal RNA". It matches the Rfam family "Bacterial small subunit ribosomal RNA", at positions 338 to 795 of the family's 1533-position model. The record is from RNAcentral.